AUUGAACGCUGGCGGCAUGCCUUACACAUGCAAGUCGAACGGUAACGGGCCUUCGGGUGCCGACGAGUGGCGAACGGGUGAGUAAUACAUCGGAACGUGCCCGAUCGUGGGGGAUAACGAGGCGAAAGCUUUGCUAAUACCGCAUACGAUCUACGGAUGAAAGCAGGGGACCGCAAGGCCUUGCGCGGACGGAGCGGCCGAUGGCAGAUUAGGUAGUUGGUGGGAUAAAAGCUCACCAAGCCGACGAUCUGUAGCUGGUCUGAGAGGAUGAUCAGCCACACUGGGACUGAGACACGGCCCAGACUCCUACGGGAGGCAGCAGUGGGGAAUUUUGGACAAUGGGCGCAAGCCUGAUCCAGCCAUGCCGCGUGCAGGAUGAAGGCCUUCGGGUUGUAAACUGCUUUUGUACGGAACGAAAAGCCUUCUUUUAAUACAGGAGGGUCAUGACGGUACCGUAAGAAUAAGCACCGGCUAACUACGUG
Molecule: ribosomal RNA, 482 nt
Filed under: uncultured bacterium
Lineage: Bacteria
Description: partial 16S ribosomal RNA
Rfam family: Bacterial small subunit ribosomal RNA
Source: RNAcentral